UGGGGAAUAUUGGACAAUGGGCGCAAGCCUGAUCCAGCAACGCCGCGUGGAGGACGAAGGCCUUAGGGUCGUAAACUCCUGUCAGUAGGGACGAAAAAGUAGGGUCGAACAGGCCCUGCCAUUGACGGUACCUGCAGAGGAAGCCCCGGCUAACUCCGUGCCAGCAGCCGCGGUAAUACGGAGGGGGCAAGCGUUAUUCGGGAUUUACUGGGCGUAAAGGGCGUGUAGGCGGCUUGAUAGGUCAAAGGUGAAAGCCCUCGGCUCAACCGAGGAACUGCCUUUGAAACCAUCUGGCUCGAGGCCGGGAGGGGGUAGUGGAAUUCCUGGGUGUAGCGGUGAAAUGCGUAGAUAUCAGGAGGAACACCGGUGGCGAAGGCGGCUACCUGGACCGGUUCUGACGCUGAGGCGCGAAAGCGUGGGGAGCAAACAGGAUUAGAUACCCUGGUAGUCCACACCGUAAAACGAUGAAUGCCAGUCGUCGGGUAGCAUGCUAUUCGGU
RNAcentral lists this ribosomal RNA (499 nucleotides) under uncultured bacterium. RNAcentral's name for it is "bacterial SSU rRNA". It matches the Rfam family "Bacterial small subunit ribosomal RNA", at positions 355 to 844 of the family's 1533-position model. The record is from RNAcentral.